CACUUUCACUGGGUUGCCCUCGAAUGAUGGAUUGCCUUUUCUAUGUCCCUUCUUGGAUAAUUUUGGUAGCUGACAGAAUAAGCCACUCCACUUUCCCAGAAUGUUUUGGUGCUUUUUGUUUGUUUUGUUUUUCAGGUGAUAGAAUGCCUGCAGCCAUGAGUGUCCAGCCUGCCUGUCUCUCAUAGCAUUCUUAGUCAAUCAAACACUAUUUCAGAUUUGCUGAGGUCAAGCCUGGGAGACUGAAGAGUGGCUUUCCACACAGACUAAUGAAGGUCUGCGGAAGACAAAUCUCAAAUGCCCUUCUUAGUUAUUCCGUCUGAAUUGCAGGAAACCCUGAAUGAUGAACAACCUUCAGGAUCAGUCAACAGGAACCAGCUAUAGAGAUUGGUUUUGUCUAUUUCUCUUUUUGACCUCUUGUGGACUGAAUAGGGCUUCCUUCCCUGCUUAGAAGAACUUUCAGUAGAGACACUGAUCUGAAAAUCAGAGGCCACAGUAGAAGACU
Molecule: long non-coding RNA, 502 nt
Organism: Erinaceus europaeus (western European hedgehog)
Lineage: Eukaryota; Metazoa; Chordata; Mammalia; Eulipotyphla; Erinaceidae
Exons: 3
Source: RefSeq, a predicted model, not a curated record